Molecule: ribosomal RNA, 448 nt
Filed under: uncultured bacterium
Lineage: Bacteria
Description: partial 16S ribosomal RNA
Rfam family: Bacterial small subunit ribosomal RNA
Source: RNAcentral
AACGAACGCUGGCGGCAUGCCUAACACAUGCAAGUCGAACGAGAUCUUCGGGUCUAGUGGCGCACGGGUGCGUAACGCGUGGGAAUCUGCCCUUUGGUUCGGAAUAACAGUUGGAAACGACUGCUCAUACCGGAUGAUGACGAAAGUCCAAAGAUUUAUCGCCAGAGGAUGAGCCCGCGUAGGAUUAGCUAGUUGGUGUGGUAAAGGCGCACCAAGGCGACGAUCCUUAGCUGGUCUGAGAGGAUGAUCAGCCACACUGGGACUGAGACACGGCCCAGACUCCUACGGGAGGCAGCAGUGGGGAAUAUUGGACAAUGGGCGAAAGCCUGAUCCAGCAAUGCCGCGUGAGUGAUGAAGGCCUUAGGGUUGUAAGCUCUUUUACCCGGGAUGAUAGUGACAGUACCGGGAGAAUAAGCUCCGGCUAACUCCGUGCCAGCAGCCGCCGCAG